This 67-nucleotide microRNA precursor is filed under the name Bombyx mori (domestic silkworm). Its description in RNAcentral is "mir-2774 microRNA precursor family". It matches the Rfam family "mir-2774 microRNA precursor family". The record is from Rfam by way of RNAcentral. Lineage: Eukaryota; Metazoa; Arthropoda; Insecta; Lepidoptera; Bombycidae.
AUAACAUUUGGUCCGUCGGUCUAUCGAGCAGUAUCCCACGCUCGCUGGAAGAUCAUCUCUACGUCGU